AUGGAGGAAGGUGGGGAUGACGUCAAGUCAUCAUGGCCCUUAUGUCCAGGGCGACACACGUGCUACAAUGGCCGGCACAACGGGUUGCCAAGCCGCGAGGUGGAGCUAAUCCCAUAAAACCGAUCGUAGUCCGGAUCGCAGUCUGCAACUCGACUGCGUGAAGUCGGAAUCGCUAGUAAUCGUGAAUCAGAAUGUCACGGUGAAUACGUUCCCGGGCCUU
RNAcentral lists this ribosomal RNA (220 nucleotides) under uncultured Pseudomonas sp. Its description in RNAcentral is "partial 16S ribosomal RNA". It matches the Rfam family "Bacterial small subunit ribosomal RNA", at positions 1163 to 1382 of the family's 1533-position model. Lineage: Bacteria; Pseudomonadati; Pseudomonadota; Gammaproteobacteria; Pseudomonadales; Pseudomonadaceae. The record is from RNAcentral.